RNAcentral lists this ribosomal RNA (483 nucleotides) under Callistoctopus minor (long arm octopus). RNAcentral describes it as "partial 16S ribosomal RNA". It matches the Rfam family "Bacterial large subunit ribosomal RNA", at positions 1852 to 2552 of the family's 2925-position model. The record is from RNAcentral. Lineage: Eukaryota; Metazoa; Mollusca; Cephalopoda; Octopoda; Octopodidae.
GUUGGGCCUGCUCGGUGAGAAGAAAAAUUUAACAGCUGCGGUAUUAUAACUGUACUAAGGUAGCAUAAUAAUUUGCCUUAUAAAUUAAGGCUAGAAUGAAUGGUUUGACGAAAAUUAGACUGUCUUUAUUUUAUUUGUUAGAAAUUAAUUUUUAUAGUGAAAAAGCUUGAAUAAUUUAAGGGGACGAGAAGACCCUAUUGAGCUUUAUUUAUUAAUAUUUAAAUAUAAAUAUAUAAUUUAUAUUAUGAAAAUUAUGUUGUAUAUAUAUAUGUAUAUUUAAUUGGAUUUAAUUUUGAUUGGGGUGAUCAAGGAAUAAAGAUAAAGUAACUUCCUUAAAAUUAAUGAUUGUUUUUAUGGAGUAAUAAACCAAGUUUUUUGCUUAUAAGAUAAGUUACCAUAGGGGUAACAGCGUAAUUUUUUUUGAGAGUUCAUAUUGAAAAAAGAGAUUGCGACCUCGAUGUUGGAUUAAAAAUUACCUUAAGG